This 301-nucleotide ribosomal RNA is filed under the name uncultured bacterium. RNAcentral's name for it is "partial 16S ribosomal RNA". It matches the Rfam family "Bacterial small subunit ribosomal RNA", at positions 509 to 807 of the family's 1533-position model. The record is from RNAcentral.
CAGUAGCCACGGUAAUACGGAGGAUCCAAGCGUUAUCCGGAAUCAUUGGGUUUAAAGGGUCCGUAGGCGGUCUUGUAAGUCAGUGGUGAAAGCCCAUCGCUCAACGGUGGAACGGCCAUUGAUACUGCAGGACUUGAAUUAUUGGGAAGUAACUAGAAUAUGUAGUUUAGCGGUGAAAUGCUUAGAGAUUACAUGGAAUACCAAUUGCGAAGGCAGGUUACUACCAAUUGAUUGACGCUGAUGGACGAAAGCGUGGGUAGCGAACAGGAUUAGAGACCCGAGUAGUCCCUGUCUCUUAUAC